RNAcentral lists this ribosomal RNA (492 nucleotides) under uncultured bacterium. Its description in RNAcentral is "partial 16S ribosomal RNA". It matches the Rfam family "Bacterial small subunit ribosomal RNA", at positions 28 to 504 of the family's 1533-position model. The record is from RNAcentral.
GACGAACGCUGGCGGCGUGCCUAAUACAUGCAAGUAGAACGCUGAAGGAGGAGCUUGCUUCUCUGGAUGAGUUGCGAACGGGUGAGUAACGCGUAGGUAACCUGCCUGGUAGCGGGGGAUAACUAUUGGAAACGAUAGCUAAUACCGCAUAAGAGUAGAUGUCGCAUGACAUUUGCUUAAAAGGUGCAAUUGCAUCACUACCAGAUGGACCUGCGUUGUAUUAGCUAGUUGGUGAGGUAACGGCUCACCAAGGCAACGAUACAUAGCCGACCUGAGAGGGUGAUCGGCCACACCGGGACUGAGACACGGCCCAGACUCCUACGGGAGGCAGCAGUAGGGAAUCUUCGGCAAUGGACGGAAGUCUGACCGAGCAACGCCGCGUGAGUGAAGAAGGUUUUCGGAUCGUAAAGCUCUGUUGUAAGAGAAGAACGAGUGUGAGAGUGGAAAGUUCACACUGUGACGGUAUCUGACCAGAAAGGGACGGCUAACUAC